Molecule: ribosomal RNA, 562 nt
Filed under: uncultured Bacillota bacterium
Lineage: Bacteria; Bacillati; Bacillota
Description: bacterial SSU rRNA
Rfam family: Bacterial small subunit ribosomal RNA
Source: RNAcentral
GGCGAACGGGUGAGUAACACGUAAACAAUCUACCUUUAAGUUUGGGAUAACCUUGCCAACGCGAGGCUAAUACCGGAUGUGAUGCACUGACCGCAUGGUUGGUGUCUUAAAGAUGACCUCUAUUUAUAAGUUAUCGCUUAGAGAUGAGUUUGCGGCCCAUUAGUUAGUUGGCGGGGUAACGGCCCACCAAGACUUCGAUGGGUAGCCGGCCUGAGAGGGUGAACGGCCGCAUUGGGACUGAGAUACGGCCCAGACUCCUUCGGGAGGCAGCAGUAGGGAAUUUUGCGCAAUGGGCGAAAGCCUGACGCAGCAACGCCGCGUGAGUGAUGAAGGUCUUCGGAUUGUAAAGCUCUGUUGAGUGGAAAGAAAAGUUUCGGAUCUAAUAACCGGAAUCUAACGGUACCACUCGAGUAAGCACCGGCUAACUACGUGCCAGCAGCCGCGGUAAUACGUAGGGUGCAAGCGUUGUUCGGAAUCACUGGGCGUAAAGGGAGCGUAGGUGGGAUUAUAAGUUAGAAGUUUAAUUCACGGGCUUAACCCGUGUGUGGCUUCUAAUACUGUA